GGCAGGUGCUGUGGUGCACACCUGUAAUCCCAGUGGCUGGGGAGGCUGAGACAGGAGGAUCAUGAGUUCAAGCCAGCCUCCACAAUGGCGAGGUGCUGAGCUACUGAAUGAGACCCUGUCUCUA
RNAcentral lists this small RNA (124 nucleotides) under Marmota monax (woodchuck). The record is from RNAcentral. Lineage: Eukaryota; Metazoa; Chordata; Mammalia; Rodentia; Sciuridae.